RNAcentral lists this unclassified non-coding RNA (228 nucleotides) under Hevea brasiliensis (rubber tree). The record is from RNAcentral. Lineage: Eukaryota; Viridiplantae; Streptophyta; Magnoliopsida; Malpighiales; Euphorbiaceae.
UUUUGAUUGGUCCACUGAGAUAAUGGACAGUUGAGAGGUCUGCGGUUUUUACAUCCACUGCAGAAUCAUCAUCUUUAAUACUACCUCCAGUCCAAUCUACCAUCUCUACCCUGAAAAAUUCACCAUCUUUAACCUCUGCAACAGGGGGAAUCUCAGGGUGCCAACGGUUGUGAAGAGGUAGUGUUUGCUCCCAUGGCUUCUUUUCCAAGUCUAUAGGUACUACCAGUC